Molecule: long non-coding RNA, 1640 nt
Organism: Panicum virgatum (switchgrass)
Lineage: Eukaryota; Viridiplantae; Streptophyta; Magnoliopsida; Poales; Poaceae
Exons: 3
Source: RefSeq, a predicted model, not a curated record
UCGCACACUCACCGCCACCGCCUGGCCUACCUCUCCCCUUUCCUUGCUAUCCUGUCUUCACUGUCCCCAUCCUGGAGGCACGGCAAUGGAGGUCGUCUUCUCCCACGGCCAUCCUCCGCCGCAAUCUGCUGGCCGGGUCUGACGGCGACACAACAUCGGCGGGCUGCACGCCGAAGGUGCCGAGGGGGACCCCGGCGCCGAGCUCUCAUCCAUGAUACCACGGGUGUUGUUGCUCUUGCGCAUUAGCUCUCUACACUGCAGGACUGUGGAGGAGAGCUGACGCCGACGCUCGGUUCCUCCUCGCCGUCGUACGUCGCCGGUUAAGAUGGAGAUGAAAUCGACGGCGGUCUUCACCUAGCUCAUCCACCGCUGUAGCCGCACCUCCAGGUAAUUUGGGAACUUCUGCUGCUAUAGAUGACAGUAGGAAUGUAGGAUCCACCGAAUGGAUCAGAAGCGAGAAGAUUGAUAAGGCAUUCUGAGAUGGUAAUAAGAAUAUCUGAUGCUUAAAUAGAUGUACUGCUCCUGACUUAGAUUGUUCCAUUUACAAACCACAGUAAAAUGAUACACAAUCAUAUAAUAUUCAUGGCACCACUUUUUCCCAUUCAGAUUUGAGUUACAGGCUACUGUAUUUUUGCCUUAGGUUCCAGUUUCACGUUAAUCUUACCAAGCAACUCCUGUUCAACAAGAUAAGAUUGGAAACAAUAUAGCCUUUCUGAAAAAUUCUCCAUGCAAACUCCUUGCAAGGAUUUUGUCAUUAAUUUCGUCAAUUUUUUGUGAUACAGCAUUACUCAUAUCUUAAAUUCGUAGUUGCUAAAAAUAUUGAUUGUUCUCUUGCAUCAUCAUACUUUAAGGUUCAUCUUACAAUAAUAUAGCAAAAAUAAACUUAAAAAGACAUAUCCACGCACCUCUACAGGUAUGGUAACACCCCAAAGCAUAAAUGUCAAAGUAUGCACAUAAUGUAUUAACAUAUACUUUUGUGGUUGCAAGAUGUGACUCUGUGGCUUCACUUUUGAGUUCUGCAUUGUAAGCUCUGCUUCUGUCAGAGUGCUCUCAGAGAAAUAGGUGAUGAAAAAGGACAUUUCAACUUUUUUUGAGACCGAAGAUAGUUGCAUGAUGGCCUGUGUUCUCUAAACAAAGCAGCUAUCACGGCUAAAUUGGAAUUUGGGCACGAGAGCAGCUAGCGACGUAAAUUAUUUGUUAUUUAACCAUCUAAAUGCAAAUGUCAUGUGUUACGCUGCAACAUUAAGCUUUUUCAUAUAGGCAAGUCGGUGGACGGUGGAUUUCAUCCAUUCACUGCAACCACAACAGAACAACGCUACUACUGAAAGAGAACUGGCAAGAACAGCAGACGCAGGCGCGGCGAAGCGCGCCAUUCUUCCUAGUCUAUAAUCCCAGACGGAAGAUUUUGGAGCCGGCUAGGUUGAGUAGAUUGUAGUCGGCUGCCGGGGUCUGGGUUCGCGGCGGCGGCGGCGAGGCUGGACGCCGUCCGGUUGUCGGGCGUCCAGGACGUGAGAGGGCAAAAUAAAGCUGAGCUGGAUUGCUCAUACUUUGUUGUCUAUUGGAAGAAUUGUUUAUUUGUGUGAAUGAGAAAGUUCAGCUCACUUAAUUUUGCAUAUGGGUUAAGCAGUGCAGCGGACAAA